ACCAGGACUCCCCGCUGAGAUAAGGCGUCGGUGGAGGUCCAAGUGGCAUUUCUGUACUUCUUUCCGCUGGAGCAUCAUUUUCAGAUUUCCAUGGAAAUCUCUUUCUCCUGGAGACCAGCAGAGGCUCAAGACCAACCACUUACUCCUCACAAAAUGAAAAUAUAAGCCAUGAUGAAGUCAAACUGGAGUCCCUUUGAACCCUGGAUGGGGGGAUCCACAAAAAAUGCAAUGAUUUAAACAAGUCACCUGAUCUUCUUAAAAGAUAGAGCUGUGAAGCCCUUCAGAUGAGAUCAACGCUAACUACACAGCACCACACUUGAAGUCCAUUGCAACUGGUAGUUUCAGAAUUCUCAAAACCAAUUUCAGCUAUGAUUAUCAUAUGCCCUUACCUUGUGAUUUUGAACCCUGGGUCAGACUUGUCAACCUGCCAAGGUCCUCUCUGGGAGUCAUCUCGCCCUCACUCUCCACCACGCCUGGACUCAGCCUCUGGGUGGGGAGCGGGGUGCUGGGAAAGAGGUUUGCUGCUAGAUCUGUCAACUUUGCCCACCUGGGGUGCACUGCAGUGGUGGGGGUGGGCGCCCACAGUGGGCACAGAGCUGCGGUGCUGAGAGAGAGUUUACUCAAAAGCACAGCUGGAAUUUAUCAGAGGGUUCAGGCUAAAGGACUGAGUAGAGAAAACAGCUAAUACUGUACUGUUUGGGGAAUAAAAACAUUUAAUGUAGUCUUGGGAAUUUAUAGAUCAAAGAUUGGAUCUCAAACUAAAACCAGCUUUGAAAGUAAGCUAAAACACUUGGAUACCUGUUAAUAGGUUGAAUUGUGCCCACCGUCCCCCAUCCCCGCCAAAGAAAUGUCAGAGUCCUGAUGCUCCCUAACCUCAGAAUGUGACCUUAUUUGAAGAUAGAAUCUUUAUAAGUAAUUAAGUGAAAAUAAGGUCAUUAGGGUGGGCCCUUAUCCAA
Molecule: non-coding RNA, 956 nt
Organism: Microcebus murinus (gray mouse lemur)
Lineage: Eukaryota; Metazoa; Chordata; Mammalia; Primates; Cheirogaleidae
Source: RefSeq, a predicted model, not a curated record